AGCUCCAUAGUUUAACGGUAAAACACGCGACCGAUAAUCGCACGUUGACAGUUCGAGUCUGUCUGGGGCUA
The sequence is a transfer RNA, 71 nucleotides long. It matches the Rfam family "tRNA". Rfam says of the family: Transfer RNA (tRNA) molecules are approximately 80 nucleotides in length. Their secondary structure includes four short double-helical elements and three loops (D, anti-codon, and T loops). The record is from Rfam.